CCUACGGGAGGCAGCAGUGGGGAAUUUUGGACAAUGGGCGCAAGCCUGAUCCAGCAAUGCCGCGUGCAGGAUGAAGGCCUUCGGGUUGUAAACUGCUUUUGUACGGAACGAAAAGGUUCUUUCUAAUAAAGAGAGCCCAUGACGGUACCGUAAGAAUAAGCACCGGCUAACUACGUGCCAGCAGCCGCGGUAAUACGUAGGGUGCGAGCGUUAAUCGGAAUUACUGGGCGUAAAGCGUGCGCAGGCGGUUAUAUAAGACAGAUGUGAAAUCCCCGGGCUCAACCUGGGACCUGCAUUUGCGACUGUAUAGCUAGAGUACGGUAGAGGGGGAUGGAAUUCCGCGUGUAGCAGUGAAAUGCGUAGAUAUGCGGAGGAACACCGAUGGCGAAGGCAAUCCCCUGGACCUGUACUGACGCUCAUGCACGAAAGCGUGGGGAGCAAACAGGAUUAGAUACCCUGGUAGUCCACGCCCUAAACGAUGUCAACUGGUUGUUGGGUCUUCACUGACUCAGUAACGAAGCUAACGCGUGAAGUUGACCGCCUGGGGAGUACGGCCGCAAGGUUGAAACGUCAAAGGAAUUGACGG
Molecule: ribosomal RNA, 586 nt
Filed under: uncultured bacterium
Lineage: Bacteria
Description: bacterial SSU rRNA
Rfam family: Bacterial small subunit ribosomal RNA
Source: RNAcentral